GAUGAACGCUGGCUACAGGCUUAACACAUGCAAGUCGAGGGGAAACGGCAUUUGGUGCUUGCACCGAAUGGACGUCGACCGGCGCACGGGUGAGUAACGCGUAUCCAACCUUCCCGUUACUGCGGGAUAACCUGCCGAAAGGCAGACUAAUACCGCAUGUUCUUCGAUGACGGCAUCAGAUUCGAAGCAAAGAUCCGUCGGUAACGGAGGGGGAUGCGUCUGAUUAGCUAGUUGGCGGGGCGACGGCCCACCAAGGCGACGAUCAGUAGGGGUUCUGAGAGGAAGGUCCCCCACAUUGGAACUGAGACACGGUCCAAACUCCUACGGGAGGCAGCAGUGAGGAAUAUUGGUCAAUGGGCGGAAGCCUGAACCAGCCAAGUAGCGUGCAGGAUGACGGCCCUACGGGUUGUAAACUGCUUUUAUGCGGGGAUAACGUGAGGGACGCGUCCCUUUUUGCAGGUACCGCAUGAAUAAGGACCGGCUAAUUCCGUGCCAGCAGCCGCGGUAAUACGGAAGGUCCGGGCGUUAUCCGGAUUUAUUGGGUUUAAAGGGAGCGUAGGCCGGGGAUUAAGUGUGUUGUGAAAUGUAGGCGCCCAACGUCUGACUUGCAGCGCAUACUGGUUCCCUUGAGUACGCGCAACGCCGGCGGAAUUCGUCGUGUAGCGGUGAAAUGCUUAGAUAUGACGAGGAACCCCGAUUGCGAAGGCAGCCGGCGGGAGCGCAACUGACGCUGAAGCUCGAAGGUGCGGGUAUCGAACAGG
RNAcentral lists this ribosomal RNA (761 nucleotides) under uncultured Prevotella sp. Its description in RNAcentral is "bacterial SSU rRNA". It matches the Rfam family "Bacterial small subunit ribosomal RNA", at positions 28 to 776 of the family's 1533-position model. Lineage: Bacteria; Pseudomonadati; Bacteroidota; Bacteroidia; Bacteroidales; Prevotellaceae. The record is from RNAcentral.